RNAcentral lists this ribosomal RNA (393 nucleotides) under uncultured bacterium. Its description in RNAcentral is "partial 16S ribosomal RNA". It matches the Rfam family "Bacterial small subunit ribosomal RNA", at positions 523 to 918 of the family's 1533-position model. The record is from RNAcentral.
AGACGGAGGAUGCAAGCGUUAUCCGGAUUUAUUGGGUUUAAAGGGUGCGUAGGCUGUUUGUCAAGUCAGGGGUGAAAUGCCCGGGCCUAACCCGGGAACUGCCUUUGAUACUGGCAGGCUGGAAUACGGAUGCCGUGGGAGGAAUGAGUAGUGUAGCGGUGAAAUGCAUAGAUAUUACUCAGAACACCGAUUGCGAAGGCAUCUCACGAAUCCGUCAUUGACGCUGAGGCACGAAAGCGUGGGGAUCAAACAGGAUUAGAUACCCUGGUAGUCCACGCAGUAAACGAUGAUAACUAACCGUCGGCGAUAGAGUGUCGGUGGCCAAGCGAAAGCGAUAAGUUAUCCACCUGGGGAGUACGUUCGCAAGAAUGAAACUCAAAUGAAUUGACGGGG